This 253-nucleotide ribosomal RNA is filed under the name uncultured bacterium. RNAcentral's name for it is "partial 16S ribosomal RNA". It matches the Rfam family "Bacterial small subunit ribosomal RNA", at positions 524 to 776 of the family's 1533-position model. The record is from RNAcentral.
UACGGAGGGUGCAAGCAUUAAUCGGAUUUAUUGGGCGUAAAGGGCGCGUAGGCGGAUAGUUAAGUCAGAUGUGAAAUUCCGAAGCUCAACUUCGGAGCUGCAUUUGAAACUGACAAUCUAGAGGAAUGGCGGAGAAAACGGAAUUCCACGUGUAGCGGUGAAAUGCGUAGAUAUGUGGAAGAACACCGGUGGCGAAAGCGGUUUUCUAGCUUUUACCUGACGCUGAGGCGCGAAAGCAAGGGGAGCAAACAGG